Molecule: long non-coding RNA, 248 nt
Filed under: Elaeis guineensis (African oil palm)
Lineage: Eukaryota; Viridiplantae; Streptophyta; Magnoliopsida; Arecales; Arecaceae
Description: long non-coding RNA (EGUI_LNC025032)
Source: RNAcentral
CUUCUGUAUAUUUUUCAUAAAGAUUUUUACAAAUGAUCAGCUGGAUGAGACUUUAUGUGAUGAUUAUUUUGAGAAUCCAUCUUUUUCUAAUGCACCGAAUGCAAAUAAUAAGUUGGUGGAGUGCGAGAAAGAUGGAAGAUCGGGAUAUCACUUUUCAUCACCACUAUAGGGCUGCUGAUGGAUCAAAGACCUUGUUCCUAACUUGUAGGAGCAAUGGGUUAUGACAAGAAAAGGAGUGCAAGAGGAAC